RNAcentral lists this ribosomal RNA (767 nucleotides) under uncultured Actinomycetes bacterium. RNAcentral's name for it is "bacterial SSU rRNA". It matches the Rfam family "Bacterial small subunit ribosomal RNA", at positions 574 to 1338 of the family's 1533-position model. Lineage: Bacteria; Bacillati; Actinomycetota; Actinomycetes. The record is from RNAcentral.
GGCGGUUUGUCGCGUCUGCUGUGAAAGCCCGGGGCUUACCCCGGGUGUGCAGUGGGUACGGGCAGACUAGAGUGCAGUAGGGGAGACUGGAAUUCCUGGUGUAGCGGCUGGAAUGCGCAGAUAUCAGGAGGAACACCGAUGGCGAAGGCAGGUCUCUGGGCUGUUACUGACGCUGAGGAGCGAAAGCAUGGGGAGCGAACAGGAUUAGAUACCCUGGUAGUCCAUGCCGUAAACGUUGGGCACUAGGUGUGGGGGACAUUCCACGUUUUCCGCGCCGUAGCUAACGCAUUAAGUGCCCCGCCUGGGGAGUACGGCCGCAAGGCUAAAACUCAAAGGAAUUGACGGGGGCCCGCACAAGCGGCGGAGCAUGCGGAUUAAUUCGAUGCAACGCGAAGAACCUUACCAAGGCUUGACAUAUACCGGAUCGUUCCAGAGAUGGUUCUUCCCCUUUGGGGUCGGUAUACAGGUGGUGCAUGGUUGUCGUCAGCUCGUGUCGUGAGAUGUUGGGUUAAGUCCCGCAACGAGCGCAACCCUCGUUCCAUGUUGCCAGCACGUGAUGGUGGGGACUCAUGGGAGACUGCCGGGGUCAACUCGGAGGAAGGUGAGGAUGACGUCAAAUCAUCAUGCCCCUUAUGUCUUGGGCUUCACGCAUGCUACAAUGGCCGGUACAAAGGGUUGCGAUACUGUGAGGUGGAGCUAAUCCCAAAAAGCCGGUCUCAGUUCGGAUUGAGGUCUGCAACUCGACCUCAUGAAGUCGGAGUCGCUAG